This 30-nucleotide non-coding RNA is filed under the name Rattus norvegicus (Norway rat). The record is from RNAcentral. Lineage: Eukaryota; Metazoa; Chordata; Mammalia; Rodentia; Muridae.
UGCUGUACUGAUGUAGGAGUUGAAUUCUCU